This 758-nucleotide ribosomal RNA is filed under the name Vararia intricata. Its description in RNAcentral is "LSU rRNA". It matches the Rfam family "Eukaryotic large subunit ribosomal RNA", at positions 1 to 788 of the family's 3401-position model. Lineage: Eukaryota; Fungi; Basidiomycota; Agaricomycetes; Russulales; Lachnocladiaceae. The record is from RNAcentral.
UUGACCUCAAAUCAGGCGGGACUACCCGCUGAACUUAAGCAUAUCAAUAAGCGGAGGAAAAGAAACUAACAAGGAUUCCCCUAGUAACUGCGAGUGAAGCGGGAAAAGCUCAAAUUUAAAAUCUGGCGGCUUCGUCGUCCGAGUUGUAAUUUAGAGAAGCGUUUUCCGCGCCGGACCGUGUACAAGUCUCCUGGAACGGAGCGUCAUAGAGGGUGAGAAUCCCGUCUUUGACACGGACCCCCGGUGCUCUGUGAUACGCUCUCGAAGAGUCGAGUUGUUUGGGAAUGCAGCUCAAAAUGGGUGGUGAACUCCAUCUAAAGCUAAAUAUUGGCGAGAGACCGAUAGCGAACAAGUACCGUGAGGGAAAGAUGAAAAGCACUUUGGAAAGAGAGUGAAACAGUACGUGAAAUUGCUGAAAGGGAAACGCUUGAAGUCAGUCGCGUUCGGCGGAAUUCAGCCUUAUGGUGUACUUUCCGUCGGACGGGCCAGCAUCACUUUUGGCUGCCGGAAAAGGGCGGGGGGAAUGUGGCACCUUCGGGUGUGUUAUAGCCUCUCGUCGUAUACGGUGUCUAGGAGUGAGGACCGCCUUUGCAGGAUGCUGGCGUAAUGGCUUUAAACGACCCGUCUUGAAACACGGACCAAGGAGUCUAACAUGCCCGCGAGUGUUCGGGUGGAAAACCCGUGCGCGUAAUGAAAGUGAAAGUUGGGAAGGCUGUCGCGGCCUGCACCGACGCCCGGACCUGAGAUUUAUCGACGGU